This 462-nucleotide ribosomal RNA is filed under the name uncultured bacterium. Its description in RNAcentral is "partial 16S ribosomal RNA". It matches the Rfam family "Bacterial small subunit ribosomal RNA", at positions 28 to 507 of the family's 1533-position model. The record is from RNAcentral.
GAUGAACGCUGACAGAAUGCUUAACACAUGCAAGUCAUUGGCGAAGCUGCGCUUGCGCAGUCUAGCCAAGGCGGACGGGUGAGUAACGCGUAAGGAACUUGCCCUGCAGACAGGGAUAACGGACGGAAACGACUGAUAACACCUGGUAUUGUCAGGCUGGCGCAUGCCGGCCUGAUGAAAGGAGACGCUGCAGGAGAGCCUUGCGUCCUAUUAGCUAGUUGGUGGGGUAACGGCCCACCAAGGCGAUGAUAGGUAGCCGGCCUGAGAGGGUGAACGGCCACAAGGGGACUGAGAUACGGCCCUUACUCCUACGGGAGGCAGCAGUGGGGAAUAUUGGACAAUGGGGGCAACCCUGAUCCAGCAAUUCUGUGUGCACGAAGAAGGUUUUCGGAUUGUAAAGUGCUUUCAGCAGGGAAGAAGAAAGUGACGGUACCUGCAGAAGAAGCGACGGCUAAAUACGUG